CCUACUGGAGGCAUCAUUGAGGCAUCUUGGUCAAUGGCCGGAAGGCUGAACCAGCCAUGCCGCGUGAAGUUCCUUUCCCUAUGGUCUUUCCCCUUCUUUUCUCGGUUCCUCCCGGUCUCCCCGUGUGGCUCUUUGCAUGUCCCCUAUGAAUAAGCAUCGGCUAACUCCGUGCCAGCCGCCGCGGUACUCCGGCGGCUGCGCGCGUUCUCCGGCUUUCUUGGUUUUCCCGGGUGCGUAGGUUGUGGUUUCAGUCAGCUGUGAAAGUUUGUGGCUCAACCAUAAAAUUGCCGUUGCACCUGGAAGACUUGAGUGUGUUUGAGGUAGGCGGAAUGCGUGGUGUAGCGGUGAAAUGCAUAGAUAUCACGCAGAACUCCGAUUGCGAAGGCAGCUUACUAAGCCAUAACUGACACUGAAGCACGAAAGCGUGGGGAUCAAACAGGAUUAGAGACCCGAGUAGUC
RNAcentral lists this ribosomal RNA (459 nucleotides) under uncultured bacterium. RNAcentral describes it as "partial 16S ribosomal RNA". It matches the Rfam family "Bacterial small subunit ribosomal RNA", at positions 338 to 795 of the family's 1533-position model. The record is from RNAcentral.